GCACCACAAGAGGUGGGACCUGCGGUUCAAUUGGAUUCAACGCCGGAAAACUCACCAGGGGCGACAGCUGGUUGACGGCCAGAUUGACGAUCUUGCCCGACUAGCUGAGAGGUGGUGCAUGGCCAUCGUCAGCUCGUACCGUGAGGCGUCCUGUUAAGUCAGGCAACGAGCGAGAUCCUCGCCCUUAGUUGCCAUCGGUGGAAAGCCGGGCACUCUAGGGGGACCGCUGGCGCUAAGUCAGAGGAAGGAGAGGGCGACGGCAGGUCAGUAUGCCCCGAAUCCCCUGGGCUACACGCGGGUCACAAUGCGCAGGACAAUGAGAUGCAACCCCGUAAGGGGAAGCCAAACCCUUAAACCUGCGCUCGGUUCGGAUCGAGGGCUGUAACUCGCCCUCGUGAAGCUGGAAUCUCUAGUAAUCGCGUGCCAACACCGCGCGGUGAAUGCGUCCCUGCUCCUUGCACACACCGCCCGUCAAGCCACUCGAGUGGGGUUUGGAUGAGGUCAGUUCAAGUUGUGCUGCUCGAAUCCGAGUUCUGCAAGAGGGGCU
This 547-nucleotide ribosomal RNA is filed under the name uncultured archaeon. Its description in RNAcentral is "bacterial SSU rRNA". It matches the Rfam family "Archaeal small subunit ribosomal RNA", at positions 876 to 1429 of the family's 1478-position model. The record is from RNAcentral.